RNAcentral lists this ribosomal RNA (334 nucleotides) under uncultured bacterium. RNAcentral describes it as "bacterial SSU rRNA". It matches the Rfam family "Bacterial small subunit ribosomal RNA", at positions 8 to 334 of the family's 1533-position model. The record is from RNAcentral.
AGGGUUUGAUUCUGGCUCAGGAUGAACGCUAGCUACAGGCUUAACACAUGCAAGUCGAGGGGCAGCAUGAACUUAGCUUGCUAAGUUUGAUGGCGACCGGCGCACGGGUGAGUAACACGUAUCCAACCUGCCGAUGACUCGGGGAUAGCCUUUCGAAAGAAAGAUUAAUACCCGAUGGCAUAGUUCUUCCGCAUGGUAGAACUAUUAAAGAAUUUCGGUCAUCGAUGGGGAUGCGUUCCAUUAGGUUGUUGGCGGGGUAACGGCCCACCAAGCCUUCGAUGGAUAGGGGUUCUGAGAGGAAGGUCCCCCACAUUGGAACUGAGACACGGUCCAA